UACGUAGGGUGCAAGCGUUGUCCGGAAUUAUUGGGCGUAAAGAGCUCGUAGGCGGUUUGUCGCGUCUGCUGUGAAAAACUCGGGGGCUUAACCCCCGGGCCUGCAGUGGGUACGGGCAGACUAGAGUGCGGUAGGGGGAGACUGGAAUUCCUGGUGUAGCGGUGGAAUGCGCAGAUAUCAGGAGGAACACCGGUGGCGAAGGCGGGGUCUCUGGGGCAGUAACUGACGCUGAGGCGCGAAAGCGUGGGGAGCAAACAGG
This 259-nucleotide ribosomal RNA is filed under the name uncultured bacterium. RNAcentral's name for it is "partial 16S ribosomal RNA". It matches the Rfam family "Bacterial small subunit ribosomal RNA", at positions 524 to 776 of the family's 1533-position model. The record is from RNAcentral.